UUCCGGGUGACCGCCGUCUCGUUUAGAGAGGGAGGAAAGUCCGGGCUCCUCCGGACAGAGUGCUGGGUAACACCCAGGCCCCAUUAAUGGGGACGGAAAGUGGCACAGAAACGAUACCGCCCAGCUAGCCGAUUAUAUGUUGGCGCAGUUGUGGUAAGGGUGAAAUCGGACGGUAAGAGCGUCCGGUCGUAUGCGGUGACGCAUCGACGGUCAAACCCCACUUGGAGCAAGGCCGAAUAGGGGGACUAUGGGAGUCCGGCUCGUCCCCGGGUUGGCUGCUCGACCUCAAUGGAGACAUUAGCUUUAAUAAAGCUCGGGGAAUUUUAUUCCCUGGAGGCUAGAUAGAUGGUCACCGGUCUAUGGUACUUGUAUCAUAGAUUACAGGACCCGGCUUAUAGGUUCGUUC
RNAcentral lists this RNase P RNA (406 nucleotides) under marine eukaryotic metagenome. RNAcentral's name for it is "Bacterial RNase P class A". It matches the Rfam family "Bacterial RNase P class A". Rfam says of the family: Ribonuclease P (RNase P) is a ubiquitous endoribonuclease, found in archaea, bacteria and eukarya as well as chloroplasts and mitochondria. Its best characterised activity is the generation of mature 5'-ends of tRNAs by cleaving the 5'-leader elements of precursor-tRNAs. The record is from RNAcentral.